UUCCACGAUAUCGAAAGAACACGUUCGCACAACUUUUACACGACAAACAGCUGUUUUCCGUUCCACUAAAAUCCAUCAGAACGAAAAUUUGCACGAAAAUCAAAGCGAACGAAAACGUAAGCAUUUCAGUGUAAUUUUGCGUUCCACUAUCUUUUUUCUUUCGUACGCAUGCGAACACAAAUGUCAAAAUCAGUCACUUGUGUGUUUGCUAUCGUAUAAUAACAAUUAAGGAAAAUUGUUUUAACAUAAACAUUGCUUGAUUGAAAAUGGAAACAAAAAUCACGAAAAAAUCAUCAACUACACAGCUGCGGGCACUAGUUGAGUAUAUGGAGGAGAAUCCUGUGUUCGCCAGAGGAGUGCCAAUUUUUGGAAGCAGCAGAAGAAGUUUUAAAUCGGGGCGGAUUUGGGUAGUUCUGCAACCGGGCACCCACAUCUCUUCCAUCAUAUCCAAAAGAGCCCGAAAACUUCCUUCGACACACCAAAAUUGGACACAAACCUAGAAAAAAUCAUUUUUUAUUAUUUCAAAAAUGUAAAAAUACAAUCAUACUUACUGGUUGUUAGGUACUUCAAAUAAAUUCGAAGCAUCUCUUAAA
This is a long non-coding RNA of Musca domestica (house fly), 593 nucleotides long. RefSeq lists it as uncharacterized. The transcript is spliced from 2 exons. The record is from RefSeq and is a predicted model, not a curated record. NCBI's taxonomy places the organism in Eukaryota, Metazoa, Arthropoda, Insecta, Diptera, Muscidae.